ACCACAAUACUGCUAAAUUGUUGGUCGCACAGUGCGCAGCACAGCAGCAACGGUCCGGUCCCACGAAUUCAUGAUUUAUCAACACAUUCUGCUGUAGCCCGGCACCUGCGUGCACGGCUUUGUUGACAAUAUUAGACGGACUACCCAUUAAGUCUUCUUUUAUUUGUUGGAUAGUAGUCUCGAGUUACGUUUUGUUCAAAGAUAGCUCUACACGCGCCUGCUCCUCUGAGACACCUCUUGUCCUCAAAGCCCAGCGUCCCCCCCUCACUUGACAAGUUAAAGGGGGGAAAAAAACAACAACAGCAGCACCGCAAACUACGAGAGCAAUGUCGACUCCACUCCGGCACAAAACAUAGGCCUCGAUAAGAGAAGACGGAGCCAUCUGGAGGCUGCCAGAUAGCGAACUCCCACGCCAUCCGCGAGACCUCACUCUCAUCCGAGGCGGCGGCCGAAAGAAAGACGACUGACACUUUCAUUUUGUUAACUUUCAAAAUUAACUCAUUGGCAUUCAAAGCAUAUGCAGCUUUUUUUUUUUUUUUUUUUUUUUUUUUUUUUUGCUUCGUAAACAUAAUGUUACUCAUGCAAAAUCUUUGACGGGUCAGUCCCUCAACUAAUGUUUAUUAUUGCUGUGUAUUGUGCUAGUGAAGUAUUUGUAAUAUUUUGCUCACCUCAUUUAGCCACACGAGAUGGUCAAAAUAUGAGAAACUGUCUUCAGUAUGAUGCACUGCACUUCUAGACCCAAGCAAGCAAACAAACAUCUAUCUAUCAAGUCUCUCUCGCGCUUCUCCCUACUAGGGUCGCGGGUGGGCUAGAGUUUAUCCCAGAUGACUUUGGGCGAGAGACGGGUCACACAUGAACUGGUUGUCAGCUAAUCACGGGGCACAUACAGACAAACAGCAGAGCUGCCCACCUAUAGAAAUUCACUACCAGAACAAUUUGUCUGUAUUUCCAUUUCUUUAAAAUUAUGUCAAGAACAUUACCACGGUACAGUUAUUGCAGUAUAUCAUGUAAAACACAGGUGUCAAACUGGUGGCCUGGGGGCCAGAUCCAGCCCGCUGCAACAUUUUAUGUGGCCCUCGAAAGCAAAUCAUGUCCUUCAACUUAAUGUUUCUUGCGAAAAUAUUAAAAUUGAAAAUUGUCUUCACUUCUAAUAACGUUUAGAAAUUGCAAGCAUUUUUUCUUGCCAAUCCCCCUUUUUUAACAUGUUUUUAAUGAGUUGUAAAAACAUGUUUUUUUAAAGGCUUAUGAUUUAAAAACUAGUUAUCCAUCAAUUUGUUGUGCAUAUGUAUUAUUAUAUGAGGUGCUAAUUAAUUUAUUUGGGUUCAUAGUCAUAAGGGCCCUCUGAGGAAAAUCAUAACUACGUGAUAAAAAUGAGUUUGACACCCCUGAUGUAAAAAGAAUAAAAAUAAUUCUACAUGCUG
This is a long non-coding RNA of Phyllopteryx taeniolatus (common seadragon), 1421 nucleotides long. RefSeq lists it as uncharacterized. The transcript is spliced from 3 exons. Lineage: Eukaryota; Metazoa; Chordata; Actinopteri; Syngnathiformes; Syngnathidae. The record is from RefSeq and is a predicted model, not a curated record.